GUGGUGCCUAAAAGCUUGGAGACACCAGGAACUGCAGAGCCCUAAAGAGGGUGUCAUAGCCCUGGCUUGGGGAUUUCCUAGGUCUGGGCUCCCUGAAGGGUUGCAGCUCUUCUCUCCUCUCUUCUGGUUGCCCUCAAUGUGGUUUUGUAUACCAGUGAAACUACUGACAUCACCUGGUCUGAAGGACCCCAUGAAGAGAUGACUCACCAAAGAAUGCAGUUUCCACAUCCUGAUGAUUUCAUCCCCAUUACCUGACAAAACAAUGACCCCAAUUUCCCAGCCCCUCACCCUCCAUGACCCCCUGAAAAACGUCAGCUAGAAACUUCUCGGAGAGAUGGAUUUAAGGGUCUCCUCCCAUCCCCUUGCUUGGUGCCCUGUGAUCAUUACACUCUUUCUCUGCUGCAAACCCUGCUAUCUCUGUACCUGUCUGUCACUGCACAGCAGGCAUAUGAAUCUGUUGGUCCUAUAACAUCGCAACGUAACAUUCCCAUGUGGAGGGGGAUUACACUCCAUGUUCUUAUCACAGCAAAACAUAUGUCACACGUAGCAAUCUAUGUAAGUGUUUGGAAUCAUUUCAGAGCUACAUAACAGGCACCAUUGUGAAAUGCAGGAAACUCUGAAUUUCCAGUUUUGAAAAAAUUGUAUUGGAGCUCUGUCUCUGCUACCCACUAACUGUGAUUUUGGUUCCUUAAUAUCUCUGAACCUUGCUUUUCCUCUGUAAAAAGGUGAUAACAACACCAACCUCAUGGGAUUACUGUCUGGAUUAAAUGACAUAAUGUACAAAAGCACUGUAAAUAUCUCUGAAUACAUAGGCACAUAUUUGAAAGUUGUUCCUUAAAUGUGAAAUUUUAAAACCAGGAAGCUAAUUAUAGAUAAAAUAUUGAAAGAAAAGUUAUAAAGGAACAUUUAAAAACUAAAAUUUCAUUAGAAAGAUACAUUUUAGCUUAAGGUAUAUUUGAAGAUAAAUAUUACCAUCACUGGGUGCCAGCAUACUUAUAACAAUCUUACAUUUUUCACCUUACAGUUUUUUAAUUUAAUUAUAAAAGUAACACAUACUUGUCAUAGGAAAUUAGGAAAAUACAGAAACAUGAAAAGGAGAAAAAUCCCAUCUCACAGAGAUAAGUCCUUUCAACUUUUUAAUAUAUUUCUUCCAGUUAGCAUUCUGGCUUUCAGCUUUUCUCUCCCUCCCUCUCAAAACAUUUAGUGUAAAUUAUGUCAUUAAGGCCAGGUGUGGUGGCUUAUGCCUGUAAUUCCAGCACUUCGGGAGGCCAAGGUAGGAAGAUCUUGGGAACAAGUGUUUGAGAUCAGCCUGGGCAAGAGAGUGAGACCGUUUCUACAGAAAUUUUUUAAAAAUAUUAGCUGGACAUGGUGGCAUGUGCUUAUAAUCCUAGCUGCUUGGGAGGCUGAGAUGAGAGGUUGACUUGAGCCCAGGAAUUUGAGGCUGCUGUGAGCUAUGAUCAUGCCACUGCACUCAAAGCCUGGGCUGUAGAGUAAGACUCUCUGUCUAAAAAAUAAUAAUAAUAAAAAGUAUAUCACUAAUAUAUCUUUCAAAAGUAAUAGUAACUUAACACUUAUUAUUGUUAGAUAGUUUCCAACUUUUGAAUACCAUUACAAUGACCUUGGGUUCCAUAAGUGCAUACCCGAAUUGGUACAUUCUGAAUAAAUCAUAUUUGCCUACUUACUCAUUUGUCUCCCCAGCUAGACAAUAAGCUUUGUGAGGAACACUUCCUUUUUUGCCAUUGUUAUGUAGUGCCUAAUAUCUUGCUUGGCACACAGUAUCUCUACAUAAAAAUAUGUGCUGUGGGCCGGGCGCGGUGGCUCAUGCCUGUAAUCCCAGCACUUUGGAAGGCCGAGGCGGGUGGAUCAUCUGAGGUCGGGAGUUCGAGACCAGCCUGACCAACAUGGAGAAACCCCGUCUCUACUAAAAAUACAAAAUUAGCCGGGCAUGGUGGCACAAACCUGUACUCCCAGCUACUCGGGGGGCUGAGGCAGGAGAAUCGCUUAAACCCGGG
This 2012-nucleotide long non-coding RNA is filed under the name Homo sapiens (human). RNAcentral describes it as "HSALNT0191790". Lineage: Eukaryota; Metazoa; Chordata; Mammalia; Primates; Hominidae. The record is from RNAcentral.